Cydia fagiglandana is the source of this 302-nucleotide long non-coding RNA. RefSeq lists it as uncharacterized. The transcript is spliced from 3 exons. The record is from RefSeq and is a predicted model, not a curated record. NCBI's taxonomy places the organism in Eukaryota, Metazoa, Arthropoda, Insecta, Lepidoptera, Tortricidae.
CAGAAGCCAUCAGGGUCUACAGCGCCAAAAGAACAAUCUAAGAAACUAAUAGACAGCGUACUCUAUAAUUUUUUUAGCGACAGCGAUAUGGAAAGCGAGCUUAUAGUUGACCAGGCUCAAAUAAAUCGUCAUUUUGAUGCGAUGACACGUGGUGAGAGGGUCUCUCCCUUGAGCUUUAAACGACGUGCUCCUGCCUCGGGACCUCUUGAUGAAAUAAUAUCUCUCCCUAAGAACAAACGCUCCAUAUUCAAAAACAAGCGGCCGGACAACAAAGCCAAGAAAUUGAAGCCCACCGAACUCAA